This 253-nucleotide ribosomal RNA is filed under the name uncultured bacterium. Its description in RNAcentral is "partial 16S ribosomal RNA". It matches the Rfam family "Bacterial small subunit ribosomal RNA", at positions 524 to 776 of the family's 1533-position model. The record is from RNAcentral.
UACGGAGGGGGCUAGCGUUGUUCGGAAUUACUGGGCGUAAAGCGCCCGUAGGCGGCCUGACAAGUUGGACGUGAAAGCUCCUGGCUUAACUGGGAGAGGCCGUUCAAAACUGUCAAGCUAGAGUCUGGAAGAGGAGAGCGGAAUUCCCGGUGUAGUGGUGGAAUGCGUAGAGAUCGGGAGGAACACCAGUGGCGAAAGCGGCUCUCUGGUCCAAAACUGACGCUGAGGGGCGAAAGCGUGGGGAGCGAACGGG